CCCAAAGAGCCCCAAACCCCCCCAAACUGCCCCAAAACCGUCAAAAAAUGCCCCAAGGAGCCCAGAACUCUCACAGGGACCCCCAAAAAUGCCCCAAAACUGUCCCUGGGACCCCCAACCCCCCCAAAAAAUGCCCCUGAAACCCCAACCCCCCCCCCCCCCCCCCCCAAACGGUCCAGGGACCCCCCCCAAACCCCCCUAAACCACCCCAGGACCCUCCCAAAAUGUCCCAGAGACCCCCAAAAUCCCCUCAGUUCCUCCCCCCCCCCCCAACCUGCCCAAAUUACCCCAAGGACCCCCAAAACCGCUGAGAGACCCCAAAACUUCCCCCAAAGGGCCCAAACCACCCCAGGACCCCCCAAGAUCCCUCAGGGACCCCAAAGCCCCCUCAGGGACCCCAAACUCCCCUCAGAAGCCCCCAGACUGCCCUCAGGGACCCCAAACUCCCCUCAGGGACCCCCAAAUCCCCUCAGAAACCCCCAAAGCCCCCUCAAGGACCCCAAACCUCCCUCAGGGACCCCAAACUUCCCUCCGGAACCCCCGAACUCCCGCAAGAACUCCCAUCUUCCCUCAGGAACACCCAAGCCCCCCCUCAGAGACCUCAAACUUCCCCCACGAACCCCAAAUUCCCUCACGAAACCCCCAACUCCCCUCAGGCACCCCCAAUCCCCCCUCAGGGACCCCAAACUCCCCUCAGGAAGGCCCAACCUCCCUCAGGAACCCCCCCAAAUGAUCCCCCUGAGACUCCAACCCCCACCAAGGACCCCUCCAACCCCUCUUGUGGCCCCCAAAUCCCCUGUAGGAACCCCCAACCUCCCCCCGGAACCCCAAACCGCCCCAAAUUCCCCCCAAACUCCCUCAGAGUCCCCCAAAAGCGGCCCCGAUCCCCCCCCCGCUCACCCCUCCCGCGCCAUCACCGCCGGGCCCCGCCCCCCGCGCUCCCAUUGGCGGCUCUCUCCGCGCGCCAACGCCUAUCCGCGCUUUUCAUUGGCCGCCGCGGACGUCAAUCAUCGCCAGACCACCGAGACGAGGCGGGGCGGUCCUCCGAGAGCGGCGGAGCGCCGGAGGGAGGGGUUUAAAAGGGGUUUUGACUAA
RNAcentral lists this long non-coding RNA (1095 nucleotides) under Corvus moneduloides (New Caledonian crow). Its description in RNAcentral is "lncRNA (ENSCMUG00000019757.1)". Lineage: Eukaryota; Metazoa; Chordata; Aves; Passeriformes; Corvidae. The record is from RNAcentral.